Molecule: long non-coding RNA, 679 nt
Filed under: Homo sapiens (human)
Lineage: Eukaryota; Metazoa; Chordata; Mammalia; Primates; Hominidae
Description: non-protein coding lnc-LBH-4:2
Source: RNAcentral
CACUAUCAUGGAGGGAGGAUGGGUUUGUAGAGUGUCUUAGGAUCAAAGCCUGACACUAUGUGUCAUUGUGUGUCACUGAGCCCCUCAAUAUAUCCACUGGGGUUUGAUCGAAAAGGAAGAGCCACUAUGAGUGAUAUAGAAUGAAGACAUUUGGGGGAAUUAGACCUUACACAAUUGUGGGAGCUGAUUCAACAGUCUGCCCAAUGCAGCUGUUGCCAUGUCCAGUGUUGGUCCUAAGUCAGUAGAGCCAGCAGUUGGAAAGGAGAGAUGAGUGUGAAGAGGGGGAGAGUAAGACUAGAUUAGAACCCAUGAAGACAAACUGGGACCCUGGAGGACAAACUGGAACUCACAUUUGUCUCACUCUCUUUCAGUGAUGCAAGUGACCUGCAGGAUUCACUGGUGCCCCACAGAGCUGCACAAGCUGGCCCAGGAUUUGGAGAAGCAGAAGAUUCGACAACUUGGAGGUCCUUGGGCUAAAUGGAGGAGAAGGGUAUACAGAGCUGAGAGCCAAGGAAGCCGAUGAGGAAUUGCACUUGGGUGUGGAGAACAAAACUACGUGGCCAUUGAUUGACUCAGGAGCUCUGCUGGAGGUGCCCUUGGCUCCCUGCAUCUUAAUCCUGGCCUGAGAAUGGUCAGUCUACUUGAGGGCCAGUAAUACGAUCUUAAACCUUCAUGACUU